Thalassophryne amazonica is the source of this 1206-nucleotide long non-coding RNA. RefSeq lists it as uncharacterized. The transcript has 3 exons. NCBI's taxonomy places the organism in Eukaryota, Metazoa, Chordata, Actinopteri, Batrachoidiformes, Batrachoididae. The record is from RefSeq and is a predicted model, not a curated record.
UGCUGCAGUCAGCUCCAUAAGGAUUUGGGCAGUGACACUUUUUUUUAGUUAUUUUGCUUUUGUACACCAACACAAUGGAGGUGAUAUAAAACAAUCAAGAUGCACUUAAAGUGUAGACUUUCAAAUUUAAAUUAAGGUGUUAAACAAAAAUGUUGCAUUAAUCAUUUUGAAGUUAUGGCCAUUUGCAUACGUGGUGUCUUCAUUUUCUGAGGCCAUAAGACAACUGAACAAACUACAUAUAAGAAUUAUUUUUAGCACAAAUCAUUCUUUUUACUGACAGCUUUAUAGAGACAUGUCAGGGGAUAAAUACAUUAACAUUUCCUAGUCCUUGAAAUCUGACUUCAAUUACAUCAUUCAGAAUUACAAACAGUAUGGUACUCUUUGGCUUGGAGUAUGCAGUGCACAAAAACUGAGUAUGGUAUUCCUGAACACAGUACUGUGCAAUAAGGAAGUUAGUGAGGGAAGCCACCAAGAUACUUAGACAACUGGGUUGUAAAGGGGUUGUAGGUUUCUUAGAGUGUGAUUGGAGAAAUUAUGUGUAGUUCAACUUUUGUCUGUUGCACUACCAGUUAUACAGCUUCCUAGUGGGGUGGCACAGAGAAGGAUCUUCACAGAAGAAAAUAUCAAGUCUCCCAUCUGCAUUUUGGUAAGCUGUAGCAGAAAUUUCACAUCUUUGAAGAAAAUCCUUCUCUGUUCUUCUCCACCAUGAAGACGUAUGUAGAUGCAAUGGACACAAUAUCUCAUUCAGAGUUGUCUGGGAGUCUUGGUGGUAUUCCCUCAGUAGUCUCCUUGUAUGGUCACUUGGUUUUUUGGAACUCCCUACUCCAGACAGAUGUACCAUACAGUACCAUACUGUUUGUAUUUCUUAAUGAUUAUUGCAAAUAAAGUCCAAAACAUCAAGUCUUGGCUUCAGUCUACCAUGUGCCUUUUGGUAAACUGUAGCUGAAAUUUCACUUUUUUUUUUAAAGAAAAUCCUUCUCUGUUCUUCUCCACUACGAAGAUGUAUGGAGAUGCAACAAACACAAUAUCUCAUUCAGACAACUCUGAACAAGAUAUUGACAAGUCAUACAAAGUUGAACUAUGUAUAGCUUUUCCAGUCAAACUCAAAGAAACCCACAAGUCCUUUGGAGUUGUCUGGGUGUCUUGGUGGCUUCCCUCACUAACUUCCUUAUUCCACAGUCAAGUCAUGAGAUGGAUGGUCUUCAU